UUGAAGUUCAUAAAAUAACCAAAAAAAACUUUAGGAUGACACAAACAAAAAAAUAGACUUUCAGGGAACAUACCUAAUAUCUGACGUGUCCCAUAAUAUUUCCUCAUCUUUACUAGAUAAGAUCUGUGAUUGUCAUUUAUUUUUAAAUCAUUAUUUAUCGAAUAAGCAUGUGGUGGGCUAGAUUUUGUUGGUAAAAUUUAUAAUCAGCACAGUCCAAAAAUAUGAGGCAAAAUGUAUAUGAUUUUUAGGUUCGCUUUGUACGAAAAUUGAUAUUAGUGAUUAAAAUGUAUAAAAGAUAUUAUAUUGUUGUAGUUAGACGAACAUAGAUUGACUUUUAUGAUUUUGUUACUAACUGCAACCAGAUAAACUUCCAUAUGAAUUAGAUUACUUAAAAAAAUAUGAUUGUAUCUGCAGAUAGAUUUAGUAUUUUUAUUAUUUCAUCUUCUCACUAUUAAUAUUACCGCUUAAGAUAAUAUAUUACAUUAACUCAUCAUAUCCUUAGUUAUUAUAGUGAAAGUAAACGAAAGUGUCCUUUCUUACAUACAAUACAGCGCCCCUGGCGGUGACUAACGUAAACACACGAUGACAGAAGAUGCACGACGUCGACAGUUGGUGUGAGAAUGGAUACUUACGUUUACGUAAACUAAAAGUAGUAGAAGAUAGAAGAGUCAUUACAUUAUUGGGUUGAGUACGGUCAGUAUUCUCAGACCACAAAAGCAUCAUGCCACGAGUCAGAUAUGCUGAAGAACCGAUAUCAGAUAGGGUACUUUACGUUCCUAGAAUGCUGUACCGAUCUUUAGGUAAAGAAAAUUUCUAGGACGUCUUUACUGAGGUUCUAAUUACACGUGUGGUCUUUUGGUCUGGGAAAUUGAGUACCUAUACCUAAAAUUUAAGCUACCUACCUAUAUUAGAUAGUAUAUUGCCUAUGUUCAUUUACGUUAUAUUAUGUAUACUUAAUUUGUUAGUCCUGUUUAUUUCUACCAUUAAAUGAUAAAAGUUAAUAUUCUUUA
Molecule: non-coding RNA, 1010 nt
Organism: Plutella xylostella (diamondback moth)
Lineage: Eukaryota; Metazoa; Arthropoda; Insecta; Lepidoptera; Plutellidae
Source: RefSeq, a predicted model, not a curated record